CCGACCCAGGGAUUGAACUCGUGACUCCUGCAUGGCAGGUGGAUUCUUUACCACUGAGCCUCCUGGGAAGCCCUGAUAAACUCUGAGUUUUGGCAAAACUGUGGACAACCACCACUUGCCCUCAUCUGUACUCCUCCUGUCAAAAUUUCUAGCAGGUUGAGGCGCCUGGUCCGCGAGAUGCUGAAUGGCAAAUUCUGUCAAACUAGAUACUACCAAGGCGAUCCCCAGGGCAAGGGGAUCUUCCCAACCUAGGAAUUGAACCCGGGUCUCCUGCAUUGCAAGCAGGCUCUUUGCCAGCUGAACUACAAGGGAAACCAAAUAUUAAGGGUGCUAACAGUUCGGUGUCUCUGAUUUCCCACUGCUUGGAGAUUGCUCCGUUACACGCAACUGUCCAGGAAGUGCCUUUGCAAGAGUGUCUUCGAUGAAAGAAUGGAACCUAUGAGAGGUGUGGAGAAGAACUCACUUUCAUCAAAGGAUCGGCUUUCAGGAUGGUCUGGGAGCCCAGAGCAUUAUUGUAUUACACACCACACUGAAACGCGCCUUGUUCUGAUUUUUCUCCCUCCCCCUCCUCCUCUCUUUUCUUUGAGUGUUUUCGAAAUAAAAGAGUUUUUUCUUCCAAAUUGCGCUGGGAGGCAAAUUCUUGAACGGUGUAAUAGAAAAUGUUAGACAAUAUUCCUUACCGGAGCUAUUGACAUUUUGGAUAGUUGUGACACUUUGAUUUUUCUCAAAACAUAUGGAUCAAGCCUGGCUGCCUUAUUGGACAGGAAGUCCGGAUGAAAGGGCUUCCUUUAUCUUUCUUUGUAUUUUCCCCCCUCUGUUUGUUCGUGCCUUUCUCUCUGAAUAGAAUCGUGGUUUUCUUAAGCUGUCCGGGGAGUCGUUAUUGCCUUACUAAAUAUUUCAUGGUGCACAGCACACCAUACCUGCCAACUGCUUCUUAUUUGUUGUCAAAAAUAAAGGGUUCAUCCUUCAGAGGGGGAGGGAAAAAAUAAAAAAAAGAUAGCAGGUUUCUCCUAUUGUUUUCAUUUUAAAGUUUCUCGUAGGCACCCCAUGCACAGGAACACUGGAAACCUGAGAAGGAUGCUUUUAUUUUCCCAGGGACGCACGGCUGGCCACUUAUUUAUUUAUUUGCGGCUUAUUUAUUUAGUUGCCGCACACUCUUUGCUAUGAUUCCCAGCACUUGUUUCUUGGCGGUUUCCCUUCCGAUUUGUUCAAAAGGGAAAAGUUCAAAGCGGCUCUGUCAGCUGAGGGAGAAGCCUGCUGAAUACUAACCCUCCAGCGCCCGCCUGCGCUGACCUUGAGAGAGGGGCCCUAAACGGUUCCAU
Molecule: long non-coding RNA, 1322 nt
Organism: Bos taurus (domestic cattle)
Lineage: Eukaryota; Metazoa; Chordata; Mammalia; Artiodactyla; Bovidae
Source: Ensembl